RNAcentral lists this ribosomal RNA (497 nucleotides) under uncultured bacterium. RNAcentral's name for it is "partial 16S ribosomal RNA". It matches the Rfam family "Bacterial small subunit ribosomal RNA", at positions 28 to 507 of the family's 1533-position model. The record is from RNAcentral.
GAUGAACGCUGGCGGCGUGCCUAAUACAUGCAAGUCGAGCGAACGGACGAGAAGCUUGCUUUUCUGAUGUUAGCGGCGGACGGGUGAGUAACACGUGGAUAACCUACCUAUAAGACUGGGAUAACUUCGGGAAACCGGAGCUAAUACCGGAUAAUAUUUUGAACCGCAUGGUUCAAAAGUGAAAGACGGUCUUGCUGUCACUUAUAGAUGGAUCCGCGCUGCAUUAGCUAGUUGGUAAGGUAACGGCUUACCAAGGCAACGAUGCAUAGCCGACGUGAGAGGGUGAUCGGCCACACUGGAACGGAGACACGGUCCAGACUCCUACGGGAGGCAGCAGUAGGGAAUCGUCCGCAAUGGGCGAAAGCCUGACGGAGCAACGCCGCGUGAGUGAUGAAGGUCUUCGGAUCGUAAAACUCUGUUAUUAGGGAAGAACAUAUGUGUAAGUAACUGUGCACAUCUUGACGGUACCUAAUCAGAAAGCCACGGCUAACUACGUG